This 253-nucleotide ribosomal RNA is filed under the name uncultured bacterium. Its description in RNAcentral is "partial 16S ribosomal RNA". It matches the Rfam family "Bacterial small subunit ribosomal RNA", at positions 524 to 776 of the family's 1533-position model. The record is from RNAcentral.
UACGUAGGAUGCAAGCGGUGUCCGGAUUUAUAGGGUUAAAAGGGUGCGUGGGCGGCCUAUUAAGUUAGUGGUGAAAACGUUCGGCUUAACCGGAUACCCGCCAUUGAUACUGAUAGACUUGAGUGCGACAGAGGGUGUUGGAAUGUGUGGUGUAGCGGUGAAAUGCUUAGAUAUCACGCAGAACACCAAUUGCGAAGGCAGAUGCCUAUGUCGUAACUGACGCUGAGGCACGAAAGCGUGGGGAGCAAACAGG